Molecule: transfer RNA, 71 nt
Filed under: Sus scrofa (pig)
Lineage: Eukaryota; Metazoa; Chordata; Mammalia; Artiodactyla; Suidae
Rfam family: tRNA
About the family: Transfer RNA (tRNA) molecules are approximately 80 nucleotides in length. Their secondary structure includes four short double-helical elements and three loops (D, anti-codon, and T loops).
Source: Rfam by way of RNAcentral
GCACAGGUGGUUCAGUGGUAGAGUUCUCGCCUGCCAUGCUGGAGGCCCAGGUUCGAUUCCCGGCCCAUGCA